UCCGGGAGACACACGGCGGGUGCUAACGUCCGUCGUGAAGAGGGAAACAACCCAGACCGCCAGCUAAGGUCCCAAAGUUAUAGCUAAGUGGGAAACGAUGUGGGAAGGCUCAGACAGCCAGGAUGUUGGCUUAGAAGCAGCCAUCAUUUAAAGAAAGCGUAAUAGCUCACUGGUCGAGUCGGCCUGCGCGGAAGAUUUAACGGGGCUAAGCUAUACACCGAAGCUGCGGCAAUAUGACUCGUUCAUAUUGGGUAGGGGAGCGUUCUGUAAGCCGUUGAAGGUGCAUUGUAAAGUGUGCUGGAGGUAUCAGAAGUGCGAAUGCUGACAUGAGUAACGAUAAAGGGAGUGAAAAACUCCCUCGCCGGAAGAUCAAGGGUUCCUGUCCAACGUUAAUCGGGGCAGGGUAAGUCGACCCCUAAGGCGAGGCCGAAAGGCGUAGUCGAUGGGAAACGGGUUAAUAUUCCCGUACUUCUUAUAAUUGCGAUGGAGGGACGGAGAAGGCUAGGUGAGCCUGGCGACGGUUGUCCAGGUCCAAGUAUGUAGGCUGAUGGUUUAGGCAAAUCCGGACCAUCCUAAGGCUGAGAUACGAUGUCGAGCUACUACGGUAGUGAAGUCAUUGAUGCCAUGCUUCCGGGAAAAGCUUCUAAGCUUCAGAUUAUAAGAAAUCGUACCCCAAACCGACACAGGUGAUCAGGUAGAGAAUACCAAGGCGCUUGAGAGAACUCGGGUGAAGGAACUAGGCAAAAUGGUACCGUAACUUCGGGAGAAGGUACGCUCCUAGCGGUGAUGAGACUUGCUCUCUAAGCUGCCGGGAGUCGCAGAUACCAGGUGGCUGCAACUGUUUAUUAAAAACACAGCACUGUGCAAAAUCGAAAGAUGACGUAUACGGUGUGACGCCUGCCCGGUGCCGGAAGGUUAAUUGAUGGGGUUAGACUUCGGUCGAAGCUCUUGAUCGAAGCCCCGGUAAACGGCGGCCGUAACUAUAACGGUCCUAAGGUAGCGAAAUUCCUUGUCGGGUAAGUUCCGACCUGCACGAAUGGCGUAAUGAUGGCCACGCUGUCUCCACCCGAGACUCAGUGAAAUUGAAAUCGCAGUGAAGAUGCUGUGUACCCGCGGCUAGACGGAAAGACCCCGUGAACCUUUACUAUAGCUUGGCACUGAACAUUGACCCUACAUGUGUAGGAUAGGUGGGAGACGUUGAAGCAAUCACGCCAGUGGUUGUGGAGUCAAUCUUGAAAUACCACCCUUGUAUGCUUGAUGUUCUAACGUCGACCCCUUAUCGGGGUUACGGACAGUGCCUGGUGGGUAGUUUGACUGGGGCGGUCUCCUCCCAAAGAGUAACGGAGGAGCACGAAGGUGGGCUAAUCACGGUCGGACAUCGUGAGGUUAGUGCAAUGGCAUAAGCCCGCUUGACUGCGAGAAUGACAAUUCGAGCAGGUGCGAAAGCAGGUCAUAGUGAUCCGGUGGUUCUGAAUGGAAGGGCCAUCGCUCAACGGAUAAAAGGUACUCCGGGGAUAACAGGCUGAUACCGCCCAAGAGUUCAUAUCGACGGCGGUGUUUGGCACCUCGAUGUCGGCUCAUCACAUCCUGGGGCUGAAGUCGGUCCCAAGGGUAUGGCUGUUCGCCAUUUAAAGUGGUACGCGAGCUGGGUUUAGAACGUCGUGAGACAGUUCGGUCCCUAUCUGCCGUGGGCGUUGGAUGAUUGAGAGGGGCUGCUCCUAGUACGAGAGGACCGGAGUGGACGAACCGCUGGUGUUCGGGUUGUAUCGCCAGAUGCAUUGCCCGGUAGCUAAGUUCGGAAUCGAUAACCGCUGAAAGCAUCUAAGCGGGAAGCGAGCCUCAAGAUGAGUCAUCCCUAGACCUUUAAGGUCUCUAAAGGGUUGUUGAAGACUACAACGUUGAUAGGUCAGGUGUGUAAGUGCUGCGAGGCAUUGAGCUAACUGAUACUAAUUGCCCGUGAGGCUUAACC
This is a ribosomal RNA of 1969 nucleotides. It matches the Rfam family "Bacterial large subunit ribosomal RNA", at positions 976 to 2925 of the family's 2925-position model.